GAUGAACGCUAGCUACAGGCUUAACACAUGCAAGUCGAGGGGCAGCAUGGUCUUAGCUUGCUAAGGCCGAUGGCGACCGGCGCACGGGUGAGUAACACGUGUCCAACCUGCCGUCUACUCUUGGACAGCCUUCUGAAAGGAAGAUUAAUACAAGAUGGCAUCAUGAGUCCGCAUGUUCACAUGAUUAAAGGUAUUCCGGUAGACGAUGGGGAUGCGUUCCAUUAGAUAGUAGGCGGGGUAACGGCCCACCUAGUCUUCGAUGGAUAGGGGUUCUGAGAGGAAGGUCCCCCACAUUGGAACUGAGACACGGUCCAAACUCCUACGGGAGGCAGCAGUGAGGAAUAUUGGUCAAUGGGCGCAGGCCUGAACCAGCCAAGUAGCGUGAAGGAUGACUGCCCUAUGGGUUGUAAACUUCUUUUAUAAAGGAAUAAAGUCGGGUAUGUAUACCCGUUUGCAUGUACUUUAUGAAUAAGGAUCGGCUAACUCCGUG
Molecule: ribosomal RNA, 490 nt
Filed under: uncultured bacterium
Lineage: Bacteria
Description: partial 16S ribosomal RNA
Rfam family: Bacterial small subunit ribosomal RNA
Source: RNAcentral